Long non-coding RNA from Peromyscus californicus insignis, 293 nucleotides. RefSeq lists it as uncharacterized. The transcript has 3 exons. Lineage: Eukaryota; Metazoa; Chordata; Mammalia; Rodentia; Cricetidae. The record is from RefSeq and is a predicted model, not a curated record.
CAUGCCUUCUGUUUAUUUUGUAAUAGAUGCUGUUCUGCUAUGGGAGCUAUCAGCAGAGGUCUGCUCAUUGGACAGCUGGCUAUGAUGGCAUCUUCAUGUAAUCUCAGCAGUUUGGAGGCCAAGCAAGAAAGGACUCCUAAAAGCUUCUUGAAGGAAUACAUUUAACUUCAGCUGGCAUGGGAGGAAUGAGUACGCCUGGGACAUCUCGAGGUACUCAGUGUUGCCGGCAGAAUCUCAAAGGGAAUCAUAGUCACAGCACUUCUGCAGUGUGCUAAAGCAGAGGAGCAUCAUAA